Molecule: ribosomal RNA, 735 nt
Filed under: uncultured bacterium
Lineage: Bacteria
Description: bacterial SSU rRNA
Rfam family: Bacterial small subunit ribosomal RNA
Source: RNAcentral
GACGAACGCUGGCGGCGCUUCUAACACAUGCAAGUCGAACGAGCGAGAGAGAGCUUGCUUUCUCAAGCGAGUGGCGAACGGGUGAGUAACGCGUGAGGAACCUGCCUCAAAGAGGGGGACAACAGUUGGAAACGACUGCUAAUACCGCAUAAGCCCACGACCCGGCAUCGGGUUGAGGGAAAAGGAGCAAUCCGCUUUGAGAUGGCCUCGCGUCCGAUUAGCUGGUUGGUGAGGUAACGGCCCACCAAGGCAACGAUCGGUAGCCGGACUGAGAGGUUGAACGGCCACAUUGGGACUGAGACACGGCCCAGACUCCUACGGGAGGCAGCAGUGGGGAAUAUUGCACAAUGGGGGAAACCCUGAUGCAGCGACGCCGCGUGGAGGAAGAAGAUCUUCGGAUUGUAAACUCCUGUUGUUGAGGAAGAUGAUGACGGUACUCAACAAGGAAGUGACGGCUAACUACGUGCCAGCAGCCGCGGUAAAACGUAGGUCACAAGCGUUGUCCGGAAUUACUGGGUGUAAAGGGAGCGCAGGCGGGAAGACAAGUUGGAAGUGAAAUCUAUGGGCUCAACCCAUAAACUGCUUUCAAAACUGUUUUUCUUGAGUAGUGCAGAGGUAGGCGGAAUUCCCGGUGUAGCGGUGGAAUGCGUAGAUAUCGGGAGGAACACCAGUGGCGAAGGCGGCCUACUGGGCACCAACUGACGCUGAGGCUCGAAAGUGUGGGUAGCAAACAGG